UUUAAAAUUUUAGCGGUUUGUCGGUUUUUCACGCGGCUUCCUGGUUAACGCGUCUUUUGCGCUAUGAUUUUUCACGUUAGUUCGCUUGUUUGAAGUGGCGCACUCGGUAGCGGCGAAGUAGAGAUCUUCAGCUGUGCGAUCUGCAUCGUACGCGGAUCCGGAUUGCAAAGGCUUGUCUGCGGAAGGACAUACCGUAAUCAACGACUACCUUUGCGGCCUGGAAUUUAGCAAGCUGACAACGAGCAUCACACACAUGCAAAGCUAAAAUUUUGCUAACAGGAGCAAGAAAGCUCUCCAGUAAAAGUGCUGCAGCUAGUGCACAAAUCCAAGCAAGACACAAGCUUAAAGCAGGCAUGAUCAAUGUAAAGCUACAGAUUGCAAGCAUGAAAACAAAGCUCAGCUGUCCCCCCAGGACAGCCGAGCUGUACUCCAGAUGCGACCCCAAGGCUUUUAAUUGGCUUUUAAUUCAUGAUGUUUGGCAUACACCUCAAGGGUGCAUUAUCUGUCAUGCUUGUUGGGUGCUGAUCCUAUAAGUAGUAGUUUUUAUAUAGCGUUCAGAAUAUUCAGUUAGAAUUGACUGGAAAGGUUUGCCUAACUUUCUCUGCCUAAUCCACAAACUGUACCACAAUACAUCCUUACACGAAUAUUUUUUUCAGCCAGCACUAGCUUUUUUUCCACGACAUGGUCCACCUUUCAAAGUAUGUACCCCAUGCGGUACACCAAAUUUUCCAUGAUCCUUCAUCCCCUAUACCAUUAUCAACUGGAGGAGCUUGCCACAUCGUAGUGCCAUAAAUACUAAUUUUGAGAUUUUCCACAGCCUUCUUCUGUUUGGACGUCCCAGCCUUGUACAUAGGUUUUACUAUAUUUACCCCUCUCUGGUGCUGCUCUGAGUGCGGCACUUCUCAGGACCUUAUUAAAGUUGUUUGUUUGUCU
RNAcentral lists this long non-coding RNA (933 nucleotides) under Dermacentor andersoni. RNAcentral describes it as "uncharacterized LOC126526390". Lineage: Eukaryota; Metazoa; Arthropoda; Arachnida; Ixodida; Ixodidae. The record is from RNAcentral.